Molecule: ribosomal RNA, 949 nt
Filed under: Billgrantia campisalis
Lineage: Bacteria; Pseudomonadati; Pseudomonadota; Gammaproteobacteria; Oceanospirillales; Halomonadaceae
Description: bacterial SSU rRNA
Rfam family: Bacterial small subunit ribosomal RNA
Source: RNAcentral
GGGCGUAAAGCGCGCGUAGGCGGUCUGAUAAGCCGGUUGUGAAAGCCCCCGGGCUCAACCYUGGRAACGGCAUCCGGAAACUGUCAGGCUAGAGUGCAGGAGAGGAAGGUAGAAUUCCCGGUGUAGCGGUGAAAUGCGUAGAGAUCGGGAGGAAUACCAGUGGCGAAGGCGGCCUUCUGGACUGACACUGACGCUGAGGUGCGAAAGCGUGGGUAGCAAACAGGAUUAGAUACCCUGGUAGUCCACGCCGUAAACGAUGUCGACUAGCCGUUGGGGUCCUUGAGACCUUUGUGGCGCAGUUAACGCGAUAAGUCGACCGCCUGGGGAGUACGGCCGCAAGGUUAAAACUCAAAUGAAUUGACGGGGGCCCGCACAAGCGGUGGAGCAUGUGGUUUAAUUCGAUGCAACGCGAAGAACCUUACCUACCCUUGACAUCGAGAGAACUUGGCAGAGAUGCCUUGGUGCCUUCGGGAACUCUCAGACAGGUGCUGCAUGGCUGUCGUCAGCUCGUGUUGUGAAAUGUUGGGUUAAGUCCCGUAACGAGCGCAACCCUUGUCCUUAUUUGCCAGCGCGUAAUGGCGGGAACUCUAAGGAGACUGCCGGUGACAAACCGGAGGAAGGUGGGGACGACGUCAAGUCAUCAUGGCCCUUACGGGUAGGGCUACACACGUGCUACAAUGGACGGUACAAAGGGUUGCAAAGCCGCGAGGUGGAGCUAAUCCCAUAAAGCUGUUCUCAGUCCGGAUCGGAGUCUGCAACUCGACUCCGUGAAGUCGGAAUCGCUAGUAAUCGUGAAUCAGAAUGUCACGGUGAAUACGUUCCCGGGCCUUGUACACACCGCCCGUCACACCAUGGGAGUGGACUGCACCAGAAGUGGUUAGCCUAACUUCGGAGGGCGAUCACCACGGUGUGGUUCAUGACUGGGGUGAAGUCGUAACAAGWGCUGCAC